Molecule: ribosomal RNA, 253 nt
Filed under: uncultured bacterium
Lineage: Bacteria
Description: partial 16S ribosomal RNA
Rfam family: Bacterial small subunit ribosomal RNA
Source: RNAcentral
UACGAAGGGGGCUAGCGUUGCUCGGAAUCACUGGGCGUAAAGCGCACGUAGGCGGCUUUCUAAGUCAGGGGUGAAAUCCUGGAGCUCAACUCCAGAACUGCCUUUGAUACUGGAGAGCUCGAGUCCGGAAGAGGUGAGUGGAACUCCGAGUGUAGAGGUGAAAUUCGUAGAUAUUAGGAAGAACACCGGUGGCGAAGGCGGCCCACUGGUCCGGUACUGACGCUGAGGUGCGAAAGCGUGGGGAGCAAACAGG